Dendroctonus ponderosae (mountain pine beetle) is the source of this 543-nucleotide long non-coding RNA. RefSeq lists it as uncharacterized. The record is from RefSeq and is a predicted model, not a curated record. NCBI's taxonomy places the organism in Eukaryota, Metazoa, Arthropoda, Insecta, Coleoptera, Curculionidae. The transcript has 2 exons.
ACUCGGCCGCAUAUCCCGACGCAGUGGAGGCAUACGCCAGUGUCGGCCUGAUUAUGGUCUUGAUGAGCAGUAGCUUGUUCCUGAUACUUAUCUGGCUUCUUCGAUUGAGGAGUCAGCUGCUUAUCUAAAACAACACCCAAAUAUUUAGCAUCUUUCCCAUUCGACGUUUUGUCCCUCUAUGGUGAUGUUGCCAUAGACACUGUCCUGCUUCCUGCCAAUAAGUAUGGCCGGGCUCUUCUCUGCAUUUAUCUUCAGCUUUCACUUGAUGAACCACUGAUGCAGUUCGUCAAUUGCAAGCUGGAGCUGUUGCCUGAUGCAGUCCUUGCGCCAUGAGAAUUUCAGAAGGGCCGUAUUAUCAUCUGCAAAUAAUGCCAGGGUCGUAUUGGCAUGUCUUGGAAUGUCGCUUGUGUAUAUGUUGUAUAGCAAGGGGGAGAGCACUGCUCCUUGCGGUACUCCUGCCUCAGUGCUUCUGGUUUGUGACCGGUAACCUCCAACUUUCACGCUGAAGCUCCUUCUGCAAAUAUAACUGUCUAUUAACUGGCA